UAAGGGCGCACGGUGGAUGCCUUGGCACUAGAAGCCGAUGAAGGACGUUACUAACGACGAUAUGCUUUGGGGAGCUGUAAGUAAGCUUUGAUCCAGAGAUUUCCGAAUGGGGAAACCCAGCAUGAGUUAUGUCAUGUUAUCGAUAUGUGAAUACAUAGCAUAUCAGAAGGCACACCCGGAGAACUGAAACAUCUUAGUACCCGGAGGAAGAGAAAGAAAAUUCGAUUCCCUUAGUAGCGGCGAGCGAAACGGGAAGAGCCCAAACCAACAAGCUUGCUUGUUGGGGUUGUAGGACACUCUAUACGGAGUUACAAAGGACGACAUUAGACGAAUCAUCUGGAAAGAUGAAUCAAAGAAGGUAAUAAUCCUGUAGUCGAAAAUGUUGUCUCUCUUGAGUGGAUCCUGAGUACGACGGAGCACGUGAAAUUCCGUCGGAAUCUGGGAGGACCAUCUCCUAAGGCUAAAUACUCUCUAGUGACCGAUAGUGAACCAGUACCGUGAGGGAAAGGUGAAAAGCACCCCGGAAGGGGAGUGAAAUAGAACCUGAAACCGUGUGCUUACAAGUAGUCAGAGCCCGUUAAUGGGUGAUGGCGUGCCUUUUGUAGAAUGAACCGGCGAGUUACGAUUUGAUGCAAGGUUAAGCAGUAAAUGUGGAGCCGUAGCGAAAGCGAGUCUGAAUAGGGCGUUUAGUAUUUGGUCGUAGACCCGAAACCAGGUGAUCUACCCUUGGUCAGGUUGAAGUUCAGGUAACACUGAAUGGAGGACCGAACCGACUUACGUUGAAAAGUGAGCGGAUGAACUGAGGGUAGCGGAGAAAUUCCAAUCGAACCUGGAGAUAGCUGGUUCUCUCCGAAAUAGCUUUAGGGCUAGCCUCAAGUGAUGAUUAUUGGAGGUAGAGCACUGUUUGGACGAGGGGCCCCUCUCGGGUUACCGAAUUCAGACAAACUCCGAAUGCCAAUUAAUUUAACUUGGGAGUCAGAACAUGGGUGAUAAGGUCCGUGUUCGAAAGGGAAACAGCCCAGACCACCAGCUAAGGUCCCAAAAUAUAUGUUAAGUGGAAAAGGAUGUGGCGUUGCCCAGACAACUAGGAUGUUGGCUUAGAAGCAGCCAUCAUUUAAAGAGUGCGUAAUAGCUCACUAGUCGAGUGACACUGCGCCGAAAAUGUACCGGGGCUAAACAUGUUACCGAAGCUGUGGAUUGUCCUUUGGACAAUGGUAGGAGAGCGUUCUAAGGGCGUUGAAGCAUGAUCGUAAGGACAUGUGGAGCGCUUAGAAGUGAGAAUGCCGGUGUGAGUAGCGAAAGACGGGUGAGAAUCCCGUCCACCGAUUGACUAAGGUUUCCAGAGGAAGGCUCGUCCGCUCUGGGUUAGUCGGGUCCUAAGCUGAGGCCGACAGGCGUAGGCGAUGGAUAACAGGUUGAUAUUCCUGUACCACCUAUAAUCGUUUUAAUCGAUGGGGGGACGCAGUAGGAUAGGCGAAGCGUGCGAUUGGAUUGCACGUCUAAGCAGUAAGGCUG
Molecule: ribosomal RNA, 1515 nt
Filed under: Staphylococcus aureus
Lineage: Bacteria; Bacillati; Bacillota; Bacilli; Caryophanales; Staphylococcaceae
Description: partial 23S ribosomal RNA
Rfam family: Bacterial large subunit ribosomal RNA
Source: RNAcentral